AUCUGCUAUGGCAAGGAGGAUUGGGGGACUGUCAAAUGGAGAGGAUCAACCAUGCAGCAUCCAGUUCAACGUGAUGGCAGUAGCUGUGGGGUCAUUGUCACCAUGAUAGCAAGGGCAGUGAUGGAAGCCUUCCCUGCGUUACCAGGUAUGUCCUUUGGGACAUCCAAAUAGGAGAUGGCUUGUGAGAGGACACUUGCACUUUCAAUACUCAGUGGUUCAGAUACAGUGUGAUAGCUGUGAUAGAUGGUUCCAUGUGCAGUGCCUGGGGAUGAGUAAGGAC
Molecule: long non-coding RNA, 280 nt
Organism: Epinephelus fuscoguttatus (brown-marbled grouper)
Lineage: Eukaryota; Metazoa; Chordata; Actinopteri; Perciformes; Serranidae
Exons: 3
Source: RefSeq, a predicted model, not a curated record